Molecule: ribosomal RNA, 264 nt
Filed under: uncultured bacterium
Lineage: Bacteria
Description: partial 16S ribosomal RNA
Rfam family: Bacterial small subunit ribosomal RNA
Source: RNAcentral
CCGGCGACCGGCGCACGGGUGAGUAACACGUAUGCAACCUGCCCGUCUCAGGGGGAUAAUCGUCGGAAACGGCGUCUAAUACCCCAUAUGAAGCUGGACGGCAUCGUCUGGUUUUGAAAGAAUAUCGGAGACGGAUGGGCAUGCGGCGCAUUAGCUAGUUGGCGGGGUAACGGCCCACCAAGGCGACGAUGCGUAGGGGUUCUGAGAGGAAGGUCCCCCACACUGGUACUGAGACACGGACCAGACUCCUACGGGAGGCAGCAG